GAUGAACGCUGGCGGCGUGCCUAAUACAUGCAAGUCGAGCGAACAGAUGAGGAGCUUGCUCCUCUGACGUUAGCGGCGGACGGGUGAGUAACACGUGGAUAACCUACCUAUAAGACUGGGAUAACUUCGGGAAACCGGAGCUAAUACCGGAUAAUAUAUUGAACCGCAUGGUUCAAUAGUGAAAGACGGUUUUGCUGUCACUUAUAGAUGGAUCCGCGCCGCAUUAGCUAGUUGGUAAGGUAACGGCUUACCAAGGCAACGAUGCGUAGCCGACCUGAGAGGGUGAUCGGCCACCCUGGAACUGAGACACGGUCCAGACUCCUACGGGAGGCAGCAGUAGGGAAUCUUCCGCAAUGGGCGAAAGCCUGACGGAGCAACGCCGCGUGAGUGAUGAAGGUCUUCGGAUCGUAAAACUCUGUUAUUAGGGAAGAACAAAUGUGUAAGUAACUAUGCACGUCUUGACGGUACCUAAUCAGAAAGUCACGGCUAACUACGUG
RNAcentral lists this ribosomal RNA (497 nucleotides) under uncultured bacterium. RNAcentral describes it as "partial 16S ribosomal RNA". It matches the Rfam family "Bacterial small subunit ribosomal RNA", at positions 28 to 507 of the family's 1533-position model. The record is from RNAcentral.